Molecule: ribosomal RNA, 301 nt
Filed under: uncultured bacterium
Lineage: Bacteria
Description: partial 16S ribosomal RNA
Rfam family: Bacterial small subunit ribosomal RNA
Source: RNAcentral
CAGUCGCCACGGUAAUACGGAGGGGGCUAGCGUUGUUCGGAAUUACUGGGCGUAAAGCGCACGUAGGCGGCUUGGUAAGUUAGAGGUGAAAGCCUGGAGCUCAACUCCAGGAUUGCCUUUAAGACUGCCGAGCUAGCAGGUGAGAGAGGUAAGUGGAAUUCCGAGUGUAGAGGUGAAAUUCGUAGAUAUUCGGAAGAACACCAGUGGCGAAGGCGGCUUACUGGCUCAUACUGGACGCUGAGGUGCGAAAGCGUGGGGAGCAAACAGGAUUAGAUACCCCCGUAGUCCCUGUCUCUUAUAC